Molecule: long non-coding RNA, 1756 nt
Filed under: Brachypodium distachyon (stiff brome)
Lineage: Eukaryota; Viridiplantae; Streptophyta; Magnoliopsida; Poales; Poaceae
Description: long non-coding RNA (BDIS_LNC005999)
Source: RNAcentral
GGUGUCCAUUUUUUGUCUUUCUUUGUUCUUCUUUCUUUUGGUUUUCUUAUGUAUUAUAUAUUGCUUCUUUUUUAUUGCUCUCUCACUCUCUCUUGAUUUUUCUUGUUUUUAUUUUUAUUUAAUUUGCCACUCUAACUUAAGAGCGAGUAGCUACAGUAAAUUUCAGAGAUAGCAGCUAGUUGUUCGUAACAUUUAACCGAGAUUUUAUUUUUUUGAUGAGGUUUCAGAUAUCGGGUGACUCCUUAGCUGUUGGAUGUGUCGUCUCUUUUUUGGAAAUACACAAAGCCAUUUAUUUUUCAUGUUGUUUAAGGUUUAUUUUUAUGCCUAACACAAUGUAUUAGUGUCCGUGUCACUUACACUUCCUUUAGUAGUAGAAUUCAGUGUCCAUCCCAUGGACAAUUCACGUGUCAACAGUGUGAAAUAUUUUUCAUUUUAAAAACUUUUUUUUUAAAAUAUCCUUCCCAUUUCACCUGCAAUUUUUGGGACCGCGCAUAAACUUUUACCUCAAUUUUUAGAAUCGCGCAUAAGAUUUCACCCGCAAUUUUUUAGAAUCGCGCAUAAAGUUUGACCUUCAAUUUUUAGAAUUGCGCACUUUCACCUGCAAUUUUUAAAACCAUGUAUAAACUUUCACCUGCAAUUUUUAGAAUCAUGCAUAAAGUUUAACCUGCAAUUUUUAGAACCGCGCAUAAAUUUUCACCUGUAAUUUUUAGAACCACGCAUAAAAUUUCACCUGCAAUUUUUAGGAUCAAGUUUGGACAAAAUUACGGGCUGACAUAAGCAGUGAUUAGCAUGAGGCUUAAUGAUGGAUUACAUGUAGCUUAAUUAUAGUAAGUUUGGCCGGGUACAUCACGUCGAGAAAAGACUUUUCUCAGUCGACUGAGUUCUAGUCAGACCCUUAACUUUUUGAACUAAGUUGAGUGUGAAGGUGCGAGUGCUUAACUUUUUCGAUGACAAGGUACAUUGCAUGCACUUGAUCUACUUGUUUAGAAGAGCUGAGAGGGAAUUUGGCAUGUGUUUUGUGCGGCUUACCGCCUGUAUAAGAGUUAGUCGCUCCUUUUCAUAAAGAUUGACGCGGUUUUGAAUUAGAAAUAGUUCAAGUCCGCGUACAAUCUUUAUGGUACGGAGGGACUACGUGGGAGGUGCGCGUGAACAGGGCGCCCGGCCCUGUGGGUACGUAGCCUGGCCGAAGAAUCCUGAUCGUUUCCGCUCCUUCACUGCGUUGCCAGAUCGUGAUGUACGCAAAUCGAUCGACUGGUCGCCGCCCCUCCUCAGCCUCGUCCCUGCGCUGCGCCUCUGCCAGUCUGCCUAAUCGUGACCACGGAGAAUUCACCGCCCCCCCUGAAGUCCUGAUCGACUGCUCUCCUUCAGUCUACAACUACAUAGCCUGAUCGGUGACCUGCAGGCUUGUUGCAUUCCCGUCGUUGGCUGCAGGUGAGUGAUUGUAGUACGGAGUAGCUAUCUUUCCAUGCUUGCGUCUUUGAUCUUUAAUUUUUUAUUCUUUUCAAUUUGUAAAUUUUAUAGUCUCAUUAAAUUUCAGAAUUAUGAAUCAAUCAUCAUCUAGAAAGUAUUCAUCUGGCGGUGAGAAAAGAAAAAGAAAGAAACGGGAUGAUGACGUAAUAAAAUUGCAUAAAGGAUAACAUGGACAAAUUUUUGAAGAGUAACACAAGCACGUCAAGCGUAGCAAGAAAUCCAGAUGAAUGUUUGCUGGUGAAAUUUUAUAUAUACACACAUUAGUUAUUGUUAUCAUAUUGUAUUA